GUAGGUGAACCUGCGGAAGGAUCAUUAAUCCAGGCUCGAAUCCCUCGGCGGCGCAAGUCGCAGGGGGGCUAGGGCCGCCUUUAUAACCACCCUUUGCCUAUGUGUACCCCUAUCGCUUCCUCGGCGGGCUUGCCCGUCGCUAGGAACCAAUCAAACCCUUUGCAUUAUACAUGAAAAUUUCCGAUACAAACCAAAAUUAUUACAACUUUUAACAAUGGAUCUCUUGGUUCUG
This 232-nucleotide unclassified non-coding RNA is filed under the name rhizosphere metagenome. RNAcentral's name for it is "partial ribosomal RNA internal transcribed spacer region". The record is from RNAcentral.